RNAcentral lists this ribosomal RNA (274 nucleotides) under uncultured bacterium. Its description in RNAcentral is "partial 16S ribosomal RNA". It matches the Rfam family "Bacterial small subunit ribosomal RNA", at positions 523 to 796 of the family's 1533-position model. The record is from RNAcentral.
AUACGAAAGGUGCAAGCGUUGUUCGGAUUUACUGGGCGUAAAGAGAGUGUAGGUUGUUUAUUAAGUCGGAUGCGAAAUCCCGGGGCUCAACCUCGGAACUGCAUUCGAUACUGGUAGACUAGAGUUCGGGAGGGGUAAGCGGAAUUCCGUGUGUAGCAGUGAAAUGCGUAGAUAUACGGAGGAACACCUGAGGCGAAGGCGGCUUACUGGACCGAUACUGACACUGAGACUCGAAAGCGUGGGUAGCAAACAGGAUUAGAAACCCUAGUAGUCC